GGAAUCUUCCACAAUGGGCGCAAGCCUGAUGGAGCAACGCCGCGUGUGUGAUGAAGGCUUUCGGUCGUAAAGCACUGUUGUAUGGGAAGAAAUGCUAGAAUAGGGAAUGAUUCUAGUUCGACGGUACCAUACCAGAAAGGGACGGCUAAAUACGUGCCAG
Molecule: ribosomal RNA, 160 nt
Filed under: uncultured bacterium
Lineage: Bacteria
Description: partial 16S rRNA
Rfam family: Bacterial small subunit ribosomal RNA
Source: RNAcentral